This 459-nucleotide long non-coding RNA is filed under the name Cyanistes caeruleus (blue tit). RNAcentral describes it as "lncRNA (ENSCCEG00000004613.1)". Lineage: Eukaryota; Metazoa; Chordata; Aves; Passeriformes; Paridae. The record is from RNAcentral.
AGGUGCUUGGGACAGCCAUACAAGACUGGCUAACCUCCACCAGGCAGGACAGAUAAUCGUGGACCCUCUGGACUCUCGGCCAGGGAAGGAUUUGGGCAGUGAGGACUUCCAGCAUGGCUACCAGGGACUGCCGAUCCACCAGUUUCUCUCCUCACUCACUGACAGCUCCCCCGCAAAGGACUGUCCAUCUCUGAGGACCCUGCUACUGGGGCAAGGGCGGAGGAAGGCCACACUGGCAUCCAUGCUCUACGAGAAAUACAGCAAGGAGACGGAGGAGGAGAUCCAUCCCCGCCCGAGGCGCAUGGAAUCUAUCUCCACCACGCACCAGGACUACCGUGCCACGGGUUUCCAGUCCACACCCCAGCCCAUCACACAGCCUCACAACUACUUAACGGAGCAGCCAACAAGCUUCUGGAUGGAGCAAGCCCGCGGGCUGCCGGUAAGGCCCCCACCACCUUG